AUGCUGGAAUUGGAAGUUAGAAUACAAUUAUUAAAGUUCCACAAGUUUGGGAGGAGUUCCCAGUAUACUGAAAGGCAGGAUUAGAAAUGAGAAUAGCCUUUACAAAUUCAAUAAAUAGUCUGAAAAAAUAAGAUACAAUUUAGUAAGGAAAACCGCAAACGUUUACAUAUAAAUAUUUCAGCCAUGAAGGUUAUACAGAAAAUUAUGUGAGUCUCAAUGUGUUCAUAUCAGGGCAUUCAUCCUGGGAGUUGUGCCAUUAAUAUUGUACUAGCAAAGGUCAGAGUGGGUUACAAAAGGUGGUUGAUUAGGUUAUGAGACGUAAUGCUGUGGAUAAUUUUUUGCUAUUUGGUCCACAGCAAGUGGAACUGCUCAGCAGUGCAGAUCUGAAGAGUCGCACUUGGAAUCGCUGCUGACAGCUCGAGAAAUCCCAGGUGAUGAAGAAUGAAUCAGCACCAACAGCUGACUGUUCAUUCUCUGCUAAACAAACUGUCGAAAAAGCAAAGCUUGGCUUAGAAGUACAAGAAUUAAUGAGGCGGCAUCAGGAACAGAAGCAAUGAUGGUUAAUGCACCACCUGGGCAUAUUCACGUCCACUGAUACCGGUGGAUAUGGUGAUACUGUCAGCAAUGGAGAGCAGGAGGAGUUCAAGCCAGGAAAGUAAGAGUGACCUGGCUCAGCUUCUGAGUUUGUUUUGGAGGUGGAUGAGUAGCAGAGUUCUCUCUCUGCUGAGUGACUCUGAUCUGUUCCUUGUCAACUAAACAAGCCGAGGCAGAAGAAAACCAGAGCAACUCACCACCUCCAAAUGGAGCGUGGGUGCCAGGUGUGCUCAGCUCUUCACUGCAGAGUGACUCUGUCAGCCCUAAACCUGCACCUACUGACAGCUGCUAUUGCUGCACGUGGGGAAGAGGACCGAAGAAAAAGAUAUUCACAACAACGCAGGUGCAGAAACAAAUUAAACUCCUUGUCUUACUACAAAAAUUGCACUAAACCUUUCUUGAUACAACGAGGACCGUAAGGGCUGAUGUCUGAGAGGGCGACUGUCCCGUCCCGCACCGCCAGCCACACAGCAAAGAAGAUUCAGCUGCGCCAACAUUUCACCAACCCAUCAAAUCUAAAAGCACAAGGACAGCAGGAAAGAAGUCUGAAGUAAAAUAAAGCUUUGCAAUAAUAAAGCAAAAAUAAAGCCCAGAGGGCUACAGUGGAGGUGAGGAGAAUAUAGCCGGCCUUGAUGGAAUCUUGGUUAAACAAGAUUGGGUUGAACACGAUCAAAUGUGGGAGGAGAAGUGUGCUGGUGUGGUCUAGCAUUUUAUUGACAAAUUUGUGUACAACUAUCUUGAACAACAUGGGUAACUGUAAUAACUUAAACAUUACAAGUCCUAGCAAGAAAAUGCUACGAAACACUAGAAUUAAGACCUCUUUUUAAAAAUUUUGAUGAAGAAAACAGGAGUCAGCAAGACUCCUGGUAUUGCAGAGCAUUGAAGAACAGCAACUAAGACUUUUUGCCCUGCACAUUAGUAUUUUGAAUGAUGCCAAUUAUAGUUCUGUGCUUCCCACCAAAGCUCUGUAAGCAACAAGAUUUCUCUUUUCAAAUGUUGAUUUUUUUUCCUUAGAGAAUGUGUGCACAGGAUUAAACCAAGCUUGCCCUUCUACCUACUUUUUUGAGAAGAACCACCUUUCUAUUGGUGUGUUAGAGGAGUGAAGCUCCCUCCCCCUUCACAGAUGAUGGCACAGUUCAGAAGUUGUUUCCAAACAUGCUGAGUUUAAUUACAGGAUCAGUGAACACAGCAAUGUUUUCUUGGCAACAGGUAGAAAAGCUGGCAGUUAAUCCAUCUCUCUGGAGCAGUUUCUUGGCAUUUCAUCACUGCAUGAGAAACUUGGAUUUCAUUUCUUAUUUUGUUUUUCUGUUUCCCCGUUUCUUUAUCUUUUUUUUUUCCUCUUCUCCUAGUGGUACAUAAAAAUAACACACUGCAUUCUUCGUUAUGAAGAAAUAAUUAACUAAGUUGUUUUUUGAAUUUAUAAACAGUGGUGGGAUCUGGUAAGAAUUCUGUAUAUGCAUUAUCCAAUACUAAAUAAGGUGGCUAAAUGAAGAUCAUGACCAGCUUAGGAAACAGUUUACAGGGAUAAAUGUUGGGUGUUAAACUUACGCAAUAGCCGUUGCUGAACUUAUAUAUUGAGAUGUAUUACCUGCAUAAGAAACAAAUCAGUUAGGUGUACAGUGUACUAUUAAUAGUACCUCAGGCAAGAGGAAACCCUGAGGGUUGGAAGGCAGAGCACACCCGCCAAUAGGACCUGUGACUGAUGCUGGUGUUCCAUUGCUGUUGCUUUACUGACUCGCUGCCUGCCCCAGAAACAUCAUUUCUCAUCAGCACCCCAUAUACUAAGUUGAAUUUAAUACUCAAAAGGAGAUAUGAUAUAUUAAAAGCAGUAUUUUUCAGAGAAGAUAUAUUGUUUUCCUUGCCUUGUCCCUUUGAGAGACUGAACAAAACUCACAGCAGAAGUAACUGCUGGCUGCAGAGAGGGAUCUUGUGAGCUCUGCAUAUAAAUCUACACUUGACAGAAGAGCAUAAUUUUCCAAGUUUUACCAUUCAGAUUGCUGGUUUUCUGUGAUAUAGUCACACAUAGAGAACAUGAAGAAUUAAUUGACAAUCUGCAGUGGAUUAAUGAUGGAGCUAUGUGAGCAAAGAUGACUCAUAAAGAAUGAAAUGCCUCACAGUAAUUGAUGGAACUUUUAGGAAAUAAUCUACAUACCUGUCUAGCAUUCAAAAUUGCCUCACUUUUGCUAUAUUCUUACCUUUAUUUUUAUCAUAUUUGUUUUUAAUAUUGUCUGAAAACAGUUUGAUCAAUCAUUUGCUUUGCAUGAAAAAAGUUGUAAUAUUUGCUUAGAGGAUACAUUGUUAUUUUUAUGUUUGUACAGCAUAUGGAAGCCAUAAACAGACAGAUUCUUCUUAAGAGUAUGCCAUGCCAGCACUGCGGCCUUAGAGUUUUAGUUCAUUUUUCUGUUCUGUGCAAGUUCUCAUCCAAAUGAAAAAAACAACAUUGGAAAUAGCUUCUUUUUCUGUCUUCCUUUCCACUUAGGCUGUUGUACAACAAUAGUUGAGUAUGGCUCCCAUUAUGAAUUCCCAUCACGUACAUUAUCACGUUUGGUAACAGUUUCUCAUUCUGCAGUUCCCAAUGUAGGACUGGAAGGAGCACCCAGAUCAGAUAACUUUUUCAAAGCUUUCUGUCUUGGGAUGUAAUUUUGCCCCAGUGCUGAAGGAACACAUUGAAAUUCCUAUUCCAAAGCCUGCAAAGCAGAAAGUAGGGCAACACUUGAUUAGGUUAAGAUGUCAGGCUGUGUUUAGUGAAUGCAGAGCUUAGAGUUGGGUUAUUUGUUUGUUUAUGAGUUGUUGAGCAGGCUUUCUGCACGUCUGUGCGCUUCCAUUAAAACAAAUUAAAAUAUAUUGAGAAGUAAUGAGUUUCAGGACAAAAAGAGUAAACAAUUAAAUAGUACAGCCUCUGAAAAACCGUAAACUUCUCCUCUAAAUACUCAUCACAGCAGUAGCCUAAACUUUUUAAUUUAAAUUUUGCAUGAUGUUAUGAAGUGCUUAUAAGAGUUUGCAGUGUCAUUCACCAAGGCUGGAAAUAAUACAUUGAAGUUAUUUUCCAGAAGUGCUGCUUAUGUCUGUCUAGCUCUCACUGAAGUGGCUUGAGCUUAUUUCUAACAAAUAGUGUUCGAGGAAGCCUGUUACUGUACUAAACCCUUUGUUUUAAGACAGGCAUGACACAGAUCCUUGCCCAUCCAUGUCACAUCUUACUAUCACUACUACUCCUCAAUUACUACACCGGUGCCCCCGGCCCCACUCCUCCGGGGUUUCACACCGAACACAACACCGGCAGCUUCAGUGCCGCGCUCUGGGACUCGAACCCUGGAGCUCAAGCAAUCCGACAGACUCUGCCUCCUGACACAGCUGGGACAACAGGCGCACACCACCGCACCCGGCACAGCUGUGCUGCCAUCCAGAGACCUGGACAGGCUGGAGAGCUGGGCAGGGAAACAUUGAAUGAAAUAGAACAAGGGCAAGUGUAGAGUCUUGAAUCUGGGCAGGAACAACCCCAGGUUCCAGUGUAAGUUGGGGAAAGACCUAUUAGAGAGCAGUGUAGGGGAAAGGGACCUGGGGGUCCUGGGGACAGCAGGAUGACCAUGAGCCAGCACUGGGCCCUUGUGGCCAGGAAGCCAAUGGUACCUGGGGUGGGUUAGAAGGGGGUGGUCAGUAGGUCAGAGAGGUUCUCCUGCCCCUCUGCUCUGCCCUGGGGAGACCACACCUGGAAUAUUGUGUCCAGUUGUGGCCCCUCAGUUCCAGCAGGACAGGGAACUGCUGGAGAGAGUCCAGCGCAGCCACCAAGAUGCUGAAGGGAGUGGAGCAUCUCCCGUGUGAGGAAAGGCUGAGGGAGCUGGGGCUCUGGAGCUGGACAAGAGGAGACUGAGGGGUGACCUCAUUAAUGUUUACAGAUAUAUAAAGGGUGAGUAUCAGGAGGAUGGAGCCAGGCUCUUCUUGGUGACAACCAGUGACAGGACAAGGGGCAAUGGGUGCAAACUGGAACACAGGAGGUUCCACUUAAAGAUGAGAAGAAACUUGUUCCCGGUGAGGGUGGCAGAGCCUGUCCCAGGCUGCCCAGGGGGGUUGUGGAGUCUCCUUCUGUGCAGACAUUCCAACCCGCCUGGACACCUUCCUGUGUAACCUCAUCUGGGUGUUCCUGCUCCAUGGGGGGAUUGCACUGGAUGAGCUUUCCAGGGCCCUUCCAACCCCUGACACUCUGGGAUUCUGUGAUUCUGUGAAAAUAUUAAAGCUGCAUCUUGGAUUUUCUCUUCUCAUCUUGUUCUUCUUUUCCUCUCCACUGCAUUCUUAUACUACAGUUUAUGUAGUGAUAAAUACGAGAGUAACGCCUGGCAAUUUUGACUCAUUUCUGAUGAUAAAUAUGAGAGUAACCACUAGUGAUUUUGACUCACUUCUGAUUUCCCUGCAGGGCUUUCUGCUUUUCUUUUCAGGCUUAAUCAUUGCUAUUGUAAAAAUAUUUGGUCUCUUCACAGAAGUUCCCAAGUGAUUUUGAAUAUGACUUGGGUGUGUCCUGUUAUUCAUACAUAUAUAGUGAUCCCAAAUAUACACAUUGAAUAAUUAACUCAUAGGUAAGUACAAACCUCCUUAUUUUUUCCAACUAUUAAAUAUAGUUUUAUCUUGUCAUACUGUGCCACAGUUAAAAUGCUGUUUGAGGAAUUUAUCUUUAUUUAUAUGUGCUAAUCCUGGUAAAAGAUACAAAAAAUAUUGCUGGUAGCUAAACUGAAUAGGAUUUGUUCUAUUUUUAUUGGAUUUAGCAUCAAAAUUUGGGGCUUCUUUCCUAAAGUGCCCAGGAUCUUCAUGUUUCCAGAUCUGAAGUACUUAGUAGAGUCCAGUCUCAUCUCAGCAGUUUUCUGGGAAUAUUCUGUUUCUACUUGCAAGGGUUAAGAAAUAGUUGUGGGGGGUUUUGUUAGGGUCUUCAUUUUAUUUAUUUCUAACAGAGCACUUAUUUAAUCACUUGGCAUUUACUGUGCCUUCUCAGUAGACUGUAGGAUUCUUUUGUAGGGGUUAUAUUUGCAGGGUAGAGGCUUACUGUUGCUCUUGUUAUCUCACAAUUUUCUGGUAUUAAAUGUGAGAAAAAAAGCUUUUCCUGAAGUGGAGUCAUGGGCAUUUAUAGGUAACUUUUGAGCCAUGUAGUGUUGAAAGCAACGGAAUUUGUUUCCUAUUUUUCACAUCUAUUUUUCAGCCUGGUUUAUCUUUUUCAUAUUUUGUUUUUUUUUUAACUGAGGUGUAUUAUUGCCAUUUACAAUAUCAACCCGCAUCAGAGUAAGAAAUAGAAGACAGAAAGGAAAAGUAAGAACAAACAACUUAUAGUCUUAAUAAUUCUUAACUGGCUACUGCUUUUGAUACUUUAAACAUGGUGAUAAUGAACGUGGAAAGCUCUGGAAGCCUUAGUAAGUUAGCCUGAUCAUCUGAAGAAUGCCAGUACUUAUUAGGGAAAGUUCGUGAUUCAUACUCAAGGAUUAAGCCAAGAGAAUCUUGUGACCUAAGCAGCCUGGCUCUCCAGUGGUAAAAAUGGGAUUUUCUUAUCUUCAGAAAAAUAAUAAUUGAGACAGAGAGCAGGGAUGGAAGCAGACAGCAUACAUUUGAUUUGAGGGCCAGUAAUACUUGGUGCAUAGGGAAAUCGCUGUUGGGCAAAUUGUUGGUGCCGCGAUAGAAAUGUAAAGUUAAACUGCACUAUACAAAGUUUUCCGCAGAGAUGAAUCAGAGCACGGCCGAGAAACAGCAAAGAUGAGAACAGUAACGCGAAAUGUUGGGCCUGUUGUCUUCAAUAUGCGGAUUAUCCUUCAGAAAUGUUUAGUCAUUUGCCUGAUAUUCAGGAAACUGCUCUUCCCUGGGUAUUAAUCACUUAAAACCAAGCACAUGAACAUGUGUCACAUUAUGGUAGGUGGUCAGUGCUGAAAGUCUGGAUGCAAGAUUUGGCGUGAUGACAUGAAAUCUAAUCCUGUUCCUAACAGCAAACAUUGACUUGACAGAAUCAGUCAGCUUCAAUACUUCAACUUCUCCAUUUCUACAGCUGGGAUAAUAAUUAACUUUUGAUUUAUUUGUUUAGAAUCUUGAAAAAAAAGGCCUUUGAAAUACGAACAAUAAAGGAUACAAUGUGCAAGGGAGCAUUGUGAACCAACUCCCUAAGAAAGUCACAUAAACACAUACUUAUCCUUUUGCAGAGCUAUGUGUAAAUAUACAUUUAGAUGCCUUGCCACCUCUAGCCUUCUCUCUUCCUUCUAUUUCAGUGCUCUAUCUUAUUUCACAAAGUGGAAAGGAAAAUGAAAAUAAGAUAGAAAAGCUCUAACCAUCAUCACUUUUUAAUUGACCCGCAUCCACAAGCCUGAGAAAAGCAAAACACUUCCGGUUCAGUGGAAGUUCAGCCUUAUUAGAUUGCUUUCGUUGCCUUCAAAGAACGGAUGAAUAUCAGCAAGCAAACAUGUAAUCAUUGUAUAAAAUCAGUGAUCCUGUUGGUUUCUUUAGAAACCCUGACACUGAUGCCGUGGAAAUCUCAGGCGUGCACUGAGAGGAGGUUCAGCUGCAGCUUUGGUGGGAGCUGCGAAGGUACCAGCAAACUCCCCCUGUGCCUCCUGGCUUUUUAUUGUACAAAUCAAUUGUGAGGGGGUGAUGCUGUAAGGGACACAUGCAGCCACACAACUCAUUUUAAUGACAGUCUACCAGUGCUUUGCUGCAAGUUCUGUGGCGGAAAUCAUAUAUUCAAAGCUUCUUGCAAGGAGCUCAUUUGUAGGGAAAAAUUUACCAUCAUUACGCUCCUGUGCCCAGUUGCAACAUCUCAAAUUCACAUUUAUUCAUACCUUCCUUUGCGCUCCUGUUGAGUUGCAGUUGAAAUAAAACAAAUUAUACGAUGAAAAAGUAUAAAGCAUAGCAGUGCAUAAACCACAUUCCAUUGGUGCUGCCAGAAUCUUUGCUCAAAUGACAAGGGUCAUUUAAAAUCUUCUGCAAAGCAUUUAUUGCGUUUAAAUUUCAGUUUGCUUCUCUGGUGUUUGGAGUAAAAGCAGACAAAUUGCAUUAAGGAAGUCAAUUCCUGUGUAAUAAUACUUUAGACAAUACAAUUUAUAUGUAAGAAUACUUUAGCUUCAGAGAUUGCAGUCUAAGAUUUUUGUUACAUUUCAGGAGUGCACCAACCCUUGGCAAGAGGUAGAACUAGAGCUUUAGAGACAUCUUGAACGCUCCUUUUGUCCCUCUUAGUGAAAAAAGAUGGAAAAAUGCUCUCUCAGGACAGCAGGAGUUUCCUGUAAUACAAACCUGCAAUGACAGAAUUGCUGGUGGACAUGGAAACCCUGUAGAGCGGCCCUUGCCCAGCAGUGCUGUCCUUAUUUUUACAAAUAUCGCCACCUUUAUUGGCAGUCAGGAAUUUUCAUUUCUUCUCAUACAAUUCCAAAAAACUGACAAGUGAGGUUUAGGAUAGCAACAGAUUUCUUUCUCCUUUGUGUUUAUAGUGAACACUUUUCUAUAUACCACAUUGUUACUGUAUUGUCAAAGGGAAGACUUUUACAAGCAGAAAGGACAAUUGGAUCCCAAACUACAUGGAAAUCGUCCUGACUAACCUGCUUGGUCCACGUGCGCCUGGGACACAGCCAGAGUCUGGUUAACAGGUUUGCUAAAUGUUAUUUACUACAUUUAACACAUGGCAAAAAAACCCUACAACUUUAUAUUAUGAACAUAAAAGACCUUUUAUUCUACAGCCUGUUUCAUCUGCCAGGACAAGACAACCUAUCAUGGCAAAAAUGAGGACACAAAGCUAUACCAUAUUUGUAGAUAAAUGCCAUUAGGGAGCUAUCAACAAUUUAAGUAAGUUUAAAAUGAUAGUUCCUGCUGUUAAACUUGUCCUUCUUGCCAUGCAGCGAUUAUUUCAUGCAUAAAUUGAAACUUGGUGGGUCUUUCAAUCUUGUUUUUAAUGUACAUGUUUUAAAAGUAUUCUCCAGCUGAACUUGCGAUUCUGACUUCCCUGAUUCCCAUUCUGAAUUAAAACUUAACGUUUAGAGCUUCCCAUCUAUAAUUGUGCCUAAGUUGCUAGCUUUCAGACCAUGUUUUAUUAUUUACUGUUGUGAUAUUAUAUAAGAAAAUGCAUUUCAAGUGUUAUACUAAAAAGGCUCUUUUAUUUGAAAUUUCACUUCUAAUUCCUUUGACUUUGUUCUUGCAUGUGAGCUGCUGCUGUCUAUACAUUGGUCCAUCUCCAAUUUAUUCCUGCUAGAAAUAACACCAUUCUACUAAAUGUAAGCAAAGUAGAGGGUUUCUUUUAGGAAGAAUGCAAUAUUCUUAGUAUUAUAAAUUAUAUCUUUGUUAUUAUUACUUAAAGAUGCCUCAUUAAUUAGCAUUUACUCCUGCAAUCAAUACAAGAGAGGUCAUCUGUCCCAGAGAAAAAAUGGGCCCUAUAACAUUUGUGACAAUUAAAGAGACUUUCAGAAAUCUAUCCGGUACUAGAAAAAUAUUUUAUACUCAUUUUAUUCCUGUAUCAAAGUUAUGCCCAGUGUGAAUAUCUAAAACUCAUAUACAUAAUCCUGGCAUUUAUACGGACAGAAAAUAUCUCAGUUUUCAAUACAGAUUUGAAUAGCAGGCUAGAAUAUUUUACCCAUAAGAAAAGCAAUAAGCAAAACAAGGAUUAUUACAAAAUUUAGAUAUUUUAAUUCCCACAGAUACUGUAAACGUUAGGAGACUGUAUUUAUUUUCUGCUGAGGGAAAAGAAGAAGAUCCCCAAUUCUAGACAGCAUUGCAUCCAGGCAGUCUGAUUCCUGGAUGGAGUCCCACCAGUUUGAUUAUGUUCAAUGCAGAUUAGGGACCUACUUGCAGAAGCACAGUUUACACACUUAAAAUAAUGCAUUUAUAUCCCACAAAUAAAAGCUACUUCUCCAAUGUUAUACAAAUUUAGGAGUUGGAUUUUGGAGAGCAAGCCAAAGCCGCCUCUAUACUGAGGGCAAGACUUUGACUCUGUGUAGUGAAUGCCACCCAUGGAUAUGGAAAUAAUGAAUGUAGGUUUACAAAUUAGGAACGAUGCCAGAUCAGAUUAAACUAUUUUAAAUAUUAGAUGUAAAGAACAGAGCUAUAAAUUUAUUCACCAAAUUCUCUCGCCUAAAUCAGGAAAACAGUUUACUUGGCUUUAUUGAACAUAAAUCUCAUUUAAAUUUUUGCUGUGAUGUGGAUUGUCUGCAUCCAGAGUUUCUCACAGUGAAAGACCGACUGAGAGAUGAACUCUGCAGGACUGACAAGAGAGAGCUCUGUAAAAAUGCAAUAAAAGCCAAGUUUAUAACUUUUGCUAUAACUUCAAGGAGCGAUCAAGUUUAUCAAUGAUGAAGUUCCCCAAGCAAGGAAAACUGGUUUUCCUUCCAAAAAUAAAGUAAAAUGAAGGUAUGAUAGAAUAUUUAUGUAUAAAUGUAAUAUCUCUCAUUUAUUUUUUUUAGCAUUCAUGUGAAACACUCAAGAUUUAGUAUGUGAAGAUGUGUGAGGUUUCCCAUUACUGUAAUAUACCUGUGUGUGUUUUCAAUUAUCCAUAUACUGGCAGCACAAACAGCAUUUUAAUUUUAUUCCAUCUGAUUUUGCACGGCUCAAGUUUUGAAAUGUAUUUUCAGAUAUAUUGAGCACUGACAACUGCCUACUGAUGGAAGCUGCAACUGAAACUGCCCCAGGAGCCCAUUCUUUUUAUACCCCGGAGGGACCUGGGGGUACUAAUGGACAGGAAGCUCAACAUGAGCCAACAGUGUGCCCAGGUGGCCAAGAAGGCCAAUGGGAUCCUGUCCUGGAUCCAAACUAGCGUGGCCAGCAGGACAAGGGCAGUGAUCCUUCCCCUGUGCUCUGCAUUGGGGAGGCCACACCUGGAGUGUUGUGUUCAGUUCUGGGCCCCUCAGCUCAGGAAAGAGAUUGAAGUGCUGGAGCGGGUCCAGAGAAGAGCAACAAGACUGGGGAAGGGACUUGAACACAAGCCCUAUGGGGAGAGGCUGAGGGAGCUGGGCUUGUUUAGUCUGGAGAAGAGGAGGCUUAGAGCUGAGCUCAGCACUCUCUAGAACUACCUGAAGGGCAGUUCUAGCCAGGUGGGGAUUGGGCUCUUCUCCCAGGCAGUCAGCAAUAGGACAAGGGGCCAUGGGCUUCAACUCUGCCAGGGGAAACUGAGGCUGGAGAUGAGAAAGCAAUUCUGUGCAGAGAGAGUGGUCAGGCAUUGGAAUGGCUGCCCAGGGAGGUGCUGGACUCACCGGCCCUGGAGGUUUUUAAACUGAGAUUGGACAUGGCACUUAGUGCCAUGAUCUAGUGAAUGGACUGGAGUUGGACCAAGGGUUGGACUGGGUGAGCUCUGAGGGCUUUUCCAGCCCAGUCCAUUCUGUGAUUCUGUGAAAAGGCAGUAAAGACUUCGGAGUGAGGGGGAAGAGAGAAGUUCAGUGGAAGAUGCUUCUGGACAAAUAUUUAUUUUACAAACAUAGUAUUUUUCAAAUUAGUUUUAAAGUGCGAUAUACAUCCAUUGGUAUAAAAACUUAAAUAUUGGGAUAGUUAUCUUAGGACACUUUAAGCUCAAAAUUAUGAUGUCUUCAUAACAGCAAAUGGGCUGAACAACUCAGUUUUAUAAACACCUGGCAUAUAGAGACGAUUCUUAAAACAAUGCUGUAUUUUCCUGGAUUUUUAACUUACAGCAUUUAUUUUGACAACAGGUAAAAAUUUCAUGCAAGUAACUGAAACUCCAUCUUUAUCAACAUUUUAGCAAUGUGGCGUAUGGACCCUGUAAAUUCCAGCAGUGCCCUUAAAUUCCAGCUCCGAGCGGGUUUCAGUGUGCUCGGUGGAGAGCAGACAGUAACAAUCUGCUCAGGCUUUUCAAAAUGCCAACAGGAGUAUUCCAGAAGAAUGAGCACAAAGAAAUUGUCAGUGGUGGUACCUGGAAGGUCACCAUCCUCAUUCAUUCAGGUGUUCACCCAGCUAUCGGACUCGGAGAGACCCUCCUAGGACAAGCACCAGCCAUUUUUGCCAAACAGCAUUGACGGUGUCCAGCGUUCAACCACUGUGCAUUUAAUAAGCCUACAAGAGUUCCUUUGAUCCAGAGCUAAAACACCUGUGGAAUAAUGCUCCGUCAGCAUCUGGCUUUCUUCAUGCCACAGUCAAGGUAGUUUCAUAACAUGGGGUUUCUGCUGGUUAUCACGACAUAGAUUAUCACAAACCAGAUUAUCUGAUGGUAUCACAGUAUCAUCAGCCUGCUGUCAGGAUUAGACACCUCGGAGGGAUCCCAUUGCACUGCAAGAGGCUGGUGACCCCCCAGCAGACCUCAACUGACAUGUCCACCUUACAGACAUCUCGUUUCAGUGCGCUGCUCAUGAGGGCCACAUCCCACACCUGAAUUUACAUCUACGUGUCAGUGUCUGCUCUGUUGCUUAAGUUUUGAUAUUCUGGAUUUGAGUAUCAGAAGAGCAAUUAAAUACAUGAACUUGAUAAAUAAUUUUAAAGUAUUAAUUUAUUAAAUUAUUGAACUUAUUAACCUAAUUAAUUGAAAUAUCUAGCAUGCCAAUAGCAAUACUUCUGUGCUAUUAGCUGUAGUUCAAUUUGAAAAAUAAUAACCCCUAGUUGACUAAUAUUAAUAUGGUGAAUAAAUAUGCUACCAAGAAAACUGUUUGUGUUUUCAAGGAAGCCAAGCAUCUGCACACAAACAAUUCCUGUCUUGCAGCAGAAUGUUAUUCAGUGUCUGAGAAUACAGGGGAAAACAACCCUCUGUUCCUUCUCCUUCAAGACACACAGGAGCACGUUUACUUUCACCAGAUAUCCAUGUAUGUGUGACACUCUCACAAGCAUUCACUUGCUGGAAGAAUAAAGCUUUUUUAUUCCUUUCAAUAAACACCCUGCACAUGGAUCUCCUCUGUGUGUGCGCUAAAUGAAGGAGGGAGCCCUGAGACCGUCUGUGUGUUCAGUUGUGAGCUCCCAGUGGGAAACCGAGGCAAAGGACACAAUUCUCACACAAACGAGCAAAGGUUUCCACAUUCCACAGUGCCAAGCGACCAUCAAAUCCAGAUGACAUUCCUAGUCCUCAUCCCCACCCUACCUCAGCAUCUGGGAAUCACUGAAGUCUUGCAAAUAACCCAGAGUUACUCUGGUUACUGAUCACAUCUUGCUGAACUAUACAUUUCAUCUACCUGUCCUAAUCCUUUUGCCCUUUUACCCCAUAGUGUGAGACAGGAUAUUAAAAUAAGUUCUUCAUAUUUGUUUGAGCAGAGUGUAACAACGUUUUCCAGGCAAAAUGUGUCACAAUUUUCUCCACGGUGUAUUAUUGUUGUUUCUCUAGAGCUGUGAAAAUUGGCAUACCACAAAUGUCAGUGGUACUUAAAAACCUGCCUUAGUGGGGAAAAGGCCCAUGAAAAUAGUAUGGUUACUUUUGUAACAAAAAAAAAAUUAAACUUCUAUAAAAUAGUUGUUCAAUAAAAUAAAUGAUACCAAAAAGUCAUCAGAGUGUAGGACAAAAGUCUCUUCCUGUAACCUAGGAAGAACGCCUUUUUCCUUAUGUUUUUUAUCAUCUGUGAUUAAUUUAGCCACCUGCGAUUUUGGCCAGUAAACCUGACACUACAUCGCUGUGCAUUAUCUCUUUGCUUCUCCUUGCACAUAUUACGCUGCAGGUAACCAAAAGUGACAUUUGGGAUACAUACAGCAGGAUGUUUGAUAUUUACUUUGGCAGAUCUUAUUUCAAAUACAGAUUGGGUGACAGUAUCAAGAGUCAAAUGCUAUGAGUUCAUUCUCAGGUGUGCCGGCCCACAUCACCAGAAUCAUCAGGCAAGGACCUACGGAGUGCUCACCAGAGGUGUAUGGCAGAACCCAUCACAGCGCCUAUUUUGUACCAUACCUAAAUACACAGCAUUUAAUUUUCAAUAAUUACAAAACACAGAAGCAUGGAGACAAGAUCCAAAUAUCCACAGUUGAAGGGAAAUUUACAGAGCAGAAAAAGCUCAUUUUUAACCUAACAAAGUCACUAAGGCAAAUUCCGCCUAUUGUGCCACGACUUUAGCAUCAUUGCUUAAUUUUAUCAGCGUAGAAUUUAGACUCUUGUAUUUGUAUCAUCUGAAAAUGCGGAACCACAAUGCAGUGGAGUAAGAUGUAUGAAGGAGACAGAAACAUUGAGGACUUUACCACAAACAGAAAGAAACGUUGUCUAUGGCAGUGAAAGCUCCAGUUACUACGAGCAGCAAACCUUUCUUCAUCCGAACACUUUGGGAAUUGACCAAUUACUUUUCAUUUUUCAGCUGCAGCUCAAAACUUCCCAGCACAUUUCUAUCUUGUUCAAAUGAACUAAUAAACUCCUGCUCCACCUCUUGAUCCCGCUUAUCGCCCCGUCCCGCACGGCAGCGUUUGUCGGCUCGCCACAAGAACACCGUUAUCUUUUUGCUACACUCCAAGCAAGCAGGAGAGCUGAAGGUUCCUGUGAAAGCAGCUGGAAAGUUGCCCAAAGGACUUUGGUUUGCUCUGUUUUGUUUUUCUUUCCUACACUUUUUCUCAGCAAAACAUUUUUUAUGUUCCUAAUGCUAAAGAUUAACACAAAAAAUAUUCCAAAAUAAGGUACAACACCUUAAAAUUAUUACUUGUUCUUUCCAAUCUUUUAACACCUGAGUGUUAAACACAUAGAUCAGGACUGGGAGGUGUAGAAUCACAGAAUAGAAAACAAGUCCCUAUCUUGCAAAUAAGUUUAAAACUCCAUGUGUUACCACUGUAACGCUGCAUAAAAUACUGAAGUGGUUUUAAAUGUUCUGCAGGUAGAACAAGGCAAUAUUUUUUUCUGUUGUCUGUGAUAUAAAUAAAAGGUGAGGAUGUCCUUGGAAUAAAUAAUAUCUAAUAUAUAUAUUGUUAAUAUCAUCCAAUAUUAUGCUUCAUGAGAAAUGUUAACUUUUUUGUGCAAAAAGAUACACUUGCUAUGACAAAUGUUGUCAAAUACUUUUCAGCAUGUAGAGUAUAUGACAUGUAGGGUAUACUGCUCUGCUCAUGUUAGUUCCUAUUGAAAUUGGUUAGAACUGUGUAGCUCAACAGUUGAUCUGUUACACGGGAACAGAAUUGUAGACUCUCUUCAGUCCUGUUAUUAACAACGAUAAAGGGAGUUUCCUUGGGGAGCGGGGUGAAAUGAAACCCGUGACACAGCAGUUCACCAUUUCUUGCUAUCUUGUGGGUGACGUCUGAGGAAAAGUCAACAAAACCAGACACAUAAACCAGCAAUAACAAAGGUCAAGCGAGAGCUGCGAGCUGCCCAGUCCCAGCUGGGUUUGCCGCACAGGGGACAGACCCUGGUGUCACCCCAGCCCCGUGCUCUGCCUCCCGGGCCACGUGUCUGUUGCCCACCCUGCCACGACAGACACACGUCUCUCCUGCAGAACACAACGCCAGGGGUGUCCUCUUUACGGGAAAAUCCAGAGCUUUGAGUCACCCAACUGGUGUCAUUUUCCCACUCACACACCCACACGGGGAUGUCAGCGAGAAGCAUGAUAUCAGGGAACUGCAGCUGUGGCUCAGUCUUUACUUUCUGGCAGAAGUGUCUUAAAAAGGAGUUACCUCUGGUCUGGUGGUGUGGUUUGUUUGUUUGUUUUUAUUUCUUAGAACUUUCUGUUUAUGAAGUGGAUUAUCUGCAGAGGAGGAGAUAGGAACAGAGCUGGAACAGAAAGAUACUAAGUCUAAGGCCAGAGCUGUCUUGCCCUGGCCCACUAUUUCAGGCUACUGUGCGGUCCCUCACCUGGCCCAGGGGCUAACAGGGCUGGUUUGCACCUUCCUGGGCCAGCCAGAGGGCACAUUGGACCCAGACCGUGAGUCUGGAACCUCACGAAUUCGCAACAUUCAUCUCCUAAUGCUCAGACUGGAUUUUCAUUUCAGAUUAUGUUCAAAGAAGGGGGGUAUUUCCCUUUUUGGUUUUAGAUAUACCCAUAGUUUUACAAAAUAUUACUGUGAAAUUCUAGUACAAAUUAGAAUAAGAUGACUUUAUAUGAGUUAUCAAGACACUGAAUCUAGACUAUUUGAAUAUGAGUCCAGAUUAUAUCAGAGAGUCUACAUUUAAUUCAAGCUGCAAUCCAAAGGUCCUUCUGGACACGCUCAGUUCUCCUCACUGCCAACUCCAGCCAUGGGAGAAUUUUCUUACGGAUUAGUUCAGAACUCCAAAAAUGACCAGCACAGAUUCCCUGGCUUUAGGUAUGAAUAUCUUAGUGCUUCCUCUGAAACAAAGAGAACCUGCUGCAAUCUAGUUGGGUAUUUAUGCUGUUCUCACCAUUGAGAUCUCCAAAAGCCUCAGACACAGCAGUCAUAGCAAGCCUUUUGGAAGCAAGCCAUAGCAAGGUUUUGCUUUUAAAGGAAAAUACAAAAUGUAACGUGUCAUUGGAAAGGUAAAAAGUAAUUUUAAGUGGCUUUUUCUUAAAAAAGAAACAACCCAGAAGUCAACAAAAAAUCAUUUUGGUUAAGAAUCCCAGUCACUUGGUGGAUGAUUUAUUGGGUAAUAUCACCUGUCAAGUCUAAGUACUGGAUAAGUUAAUCAUCUCCAAAUAUUUCAGCUUCUAUUUUAAUUGCUUAAGUGUUAAAAUAGGUCAUAUUAUCUUGAUGAAAACACAAUUAUGAAAUGUACAAUUUCUUUUAAUGAUCUUUAUUAGCUUACAAUGAUCCCUUGUAUUUCUACACUGUAUGCACACUGGCAAGUCUUCCAGCUGUAACUAUUCUGAUGUCAGCACUGUACUUCGUAACUUACACUUGUUUAUAACACAACCAGAAAGAUCCACUUCAGUCAGAAUCUUGGCACUGGUGGUUUAAAUUGGGGAAUAAAAAUGUUUAUACACAUUUGAGAUUUAAGGAAAGUGAAAACAAACCCAUUUACACACAUUUAAUCAGCCAUCAAUGGCAAAAACUUAACAAAGUCUGAAACAGUUUAGUAUAACUGAAAAAUGUAGUAGUGACUACUUAUUAAUGGAGUUUAUUUUGGUAUGCAUUUCUGCUCCCACAACAGCCACUAAAGGAAAAGGUACCUUGCAGGCUCAGUGUGAAUCCCGGCCUGCAUCUGCACCCUGACUUCUGGCCACGUUCUGCUCCCUGUGCAGAAAACUCAUUACAAUGGGUCUUCUGCUGUAGACUGAUGGACGGUGUCAGACUGUCUGGCAGUUGACUUGCUGGUCUGUUCGCUGCAACUCUUCUCUCUCCCACGUCUUUCUCUGACACAGCAUGAAAUAUAUGGCUUACGAGGGCUUUUCUGCCUUGUACAGGAACACCAUCACCCUGACACAGGAGCAGCAUCACCCUGACACAGGUACAGCGUCACCCUGACACAGGAACAGCGUCACCCUGACACAGGAGCAGCGUCACCCUGACACAGGAACAGUGCCACUGUGACACAGGAACAGCGUAACCUUGUACAGGAAUAGCGUCACCCUGACACAGGAACAGCGUCAUCAUGAUACAGGAACAGCAUCACCCAGGCACAGGAACAGCAUCACCCUGACACAGGUGCAGUGUCACUGUGACACAGGAGCAGCAUCACCCUGACACAGGAACAAUGUCGCCCUGACACAGGAACAGC
Long non-coding RNA from Columba livia (rock pigeon), 17083 nucleotides. RefSeq lists it as uncharacterized. Lineage: Eukaryota; Metazoa; Chordata; Aves; Columbiformes; Columbidae. The transcript is spliced from 5 exons. The record is from RefSeq and is a predicted model, not a curated record.